GGCUGUCGUCAGCUCGUGUCGUGAGAUGUUGGGUUAAGUCCCGCAACGAGCGCAACCCUCGCCUUUAGUUGCCAUCACGUCUGGGUGGGCACUCUAAAGGAACUGCCGGUGACAAGCCGGAGGAAGGUGGGGAUGACGUCAAGUCCUCAUGGCCCUUAUGUCCUGGGCUACACACGUGCUACAAUGGCGGUGACAGUGGGAAGCCAGGUAGCGAUACCGAGCCGAUCUCAAAAAGCCGUCUCAGUUCGGAUUGCACUCUGCAACUCGAGUGCAUGAAGGUGGAAUCGCUAGUAAUCGCGGAUCAGCAUGCCGCGGUGAAUACGUUCCCGGGC
RNAcentral lists this ribosomal RNA (332 nucleotides) under uncultured Gluconacetobacter sp. Its description in RNAcentral is "bacterial SSU rRNA". It matches the Rfam family "Bacterial small subunit ribosomal RNA", at positions 1047 to 1379 of the family's 1533-position model. The record is from RNAcentral. Lineage: Bacteria; Pseudomonadati; Pseudomonadota; Alphaproteobacteria; Acetobacterales; Acetobacteraceae.